Molecule: ribosomal RNA, 468 nt
Filed under: uncultured bacterium
Lineage: Bacteria
Description: partial 16S ribosomal RNA
Rfam family: Bacterial small subunit ribosomal RNA
Source: RNAcentral
GACGAACGCUGGCGGCGUGCUUAACACAUGCAAGUCGAACGGAAAGGCCCUGCUUUUGUGGGGUGCUCGAGUGGCGAACGGGUGAGUAACACGUGAGUAACCUGCCCUCGACUUUGGGAUAACUUCAGGAAACUGGGGCUAAUACCGGAUAGGAGCUCCUGCUGCAUGGUGGGGGUUGGAAAGUUUCGGCGGUUGGGGAUGGACUCGCGGCUUAUCAGCUUGUUGGUGGGGUAGUGGCUUACCAAGGCUUUGACGGGUAGCCGGCCUGAGAGGGUGACCGGCCACAUUGGGACUGAGAUACGGCCCAGACUCCUACGGGAGGCAGCAGUGGGGAAUAUUGCACAAUGGGCGGAAGCCUGAUGCAGCAACGCCGCGUGCGGGAUGACGGCCUUCGGGUUGCAAACCGCUUUCGCCUGUGACGAAGCGUGAGUGACGGUAAUGGGUAAAGAAGCACCGGCUAACUACGUG